This 427-nucleotide ribosomal RNA is filed under the name uncultured bacterium. Its description in RNAcentral is "bacterial SSU rRNA". It matches the Rfam family "Bacterial small subunit ribosomal RNA", at positions 355 to 774 of the family's 1533-position model. The record is from RNAcentral.
UGGGGAAUUUUGGACAAUGGGGGCAACCCUGAUCCAGCCAUCCCGCGUGUGCGAUGAAGGCCUUCGGGUUGUAAAGCACUUUUGGCAGGGAAGAAACAGCCUGGGCUAAUAUCCCGGGCGACUGACGGUACCUGCAGAAUAAGCACCGGCUAACUACGUGCCAGCAGCCGCGGUAAUACGUAGGGUGCAAGCGUUAAUCGGAAUUACUGGGCGUAAAGGGCGCGUAGGCGGCGCGGUAAGUCACUUGUGAAAUCUCUGAGCUUAACUCAGAACGGCCAAGGGAUACUGCUGUGCUAGAGUGCGGAAGAGGCAACCGGAAUUCUUGGUGUAGCGGUGAAAUGCGUAGAUAUCAAGAGGAACACCUGAGGCGAAGGCGGGUUGCUGGGCCGACACUGACGCUGAUGCGCGAAAGCCAGGGGAGCAAACG